RNAcentral lists this ribosomal RNA (540 nucleotides) under Triticum aestivum (bread wheat). RNAcentral describes it as "partial small subunit ribosomal RNA". The record is from RNAcentral. Lineage: Eukaryota; Viridiplantae; Streptophyta; Magnoliopsida; Poales; Poaceae.
AUGUCUAAACUUAAUCUAGGAUUACAUAUUCUUGUCAUAUAUGUUGUUUUCAUUGCUCACCAAAUCCAUGGAGGUGGAUUGCAUCCAACCAACCGAAAGGCAUGGUAUGCACAUGCUUCUCCAUCAAAAAAUUCCAAUGACAUCGUUUAUUUUGCGACACAUAGGACACGUCCCAGUAGCUAUUAUGGACUUGCUGCUACAAUGGAUGUGUACGGACACAAUAUCAGUGCUGGUCAUAUCAUAACAUCUAUUUGGAUUGCUAACAUGGAGGGUGAUCCAAAGACAGAUCACAAUGCAAUUUGGGUCGGGUGGCAAGUUGACCCAAAAAAAUAUGGGGACUCACAUACUCACUUCUUCACGAGUUGGACGAGAGACACAUAUCAUACAGGGUGCUAUGACAUGGACUGCCCUGGUUUCCAACUUGUUAAGGGGUCAAAAAUCGCUCCAGGUGGCACAAUACAACCAGUCUCUCAUGUUCAUGGUGUAUGUCAAAAGAUUACAAUUAAAGUGUUUAGGGAAAAAUCCACGGGAAAUUGGUGA